AUGGAGGGAGUAGAGAGAAAGUUGCAUUCCCUGAAGCUCUCUGAAGCAGAGAAGAAGGGGGUCAGGCUAGGAAAAAGGAGUGUGAGCCAAUUAGGAGAAGAGAGAAUGCAAGCUGUAGGCAAGGUGAUGUCCGACAGGCCAGCGAGGGUGGAUGCGCUGGUCAAUACCUUGGGCAGGAUCUGGGCUCCAUUCAAGGGGAUAGAAUGCAAGGAUCUAGAGAAACUCAACCCAGCUAAGACAUUGGAUGAAUAUGAAUUCAGAUAUAUACCAAUUUGGGUAAGAGUUUAUGAUAUUCCUAUGGGGUGGAUGAGUAGAGAAUCUGGUGAAGAAAUAGGAAAAGAAAUAGGUGAAGUACUGGAUGUAGAUGUUGAUGAUUGUGGCAUGGCUAUGGGGGAAUACAUGAGAAUUAAAGUACGACUGGACAUAAGGAAGCCACUGAUGAGGGGUAUUACUAUUUUUGAGGAUGACGAGGGAGAAGACGAGGAACAUGAGGAGAAGGAGAAAGAUAAUAUCAUAGAAGAUGUGGAUGAAGAAAAUGAAAAGAAGGAGAAGGGGCGCGAGGUUAUUUUCAAGUACGAAUACUUGCCCGACUUCUGCUACAUCUGUGGUAUA
Molecule: ribosomal RNA, 612 nt
Filed under: Triticum aestivum (bread wheat)
Lineage: Eukaryota; Viridiplantae; Streptophyta; Magnoliopsida; Poales; Poaceae
Description: partial small subunit ribosomal RNA
Source: RNAcentral